GUUGUUGGGUAGGGGAGCGUUCUGUAAGCCGUUGAAGGUGGCCUGUGAGGGUUGCUGGAGGUAUCAGAAGUGCGAAUGCUGACAUAAGUAACGAUAAUGCGGGUGAAAAACCCGCACGCCGGAAGACCAAGGGUUCCUGUCCAACGUUAAUCGGGGCAGGGUGAGUCGACCCCUAAGGCGAGGCCGAAAGGCGUAGUCGAUGGGAAACAGGUUAAUAUUCCUGUACUCGGUGUUACUGCGAAGGGGGGACGGAGAAGGCUAUGUUGGCCGGGCGACGGUUGUCCCGGUUUAAGCAUGUAGGCGGAUGUUCCAGGUAAAUCCGGAACGUUACUAACGCUGAGGUGUGAUGACGAGGCACUACGGUGCUGAAGUGACAAAUGCCCUGCUUCCAGGAAAAGCCUCUAAGCAUCAGGUAACAUCAAAUCGUACCCCAAACCGACACAGGUGGUCAGGUAGAGAAUACCAAGGCGCUUGAGAGAACUCGGGUGAAGGAACUAGGCAAAAUGGUGCCGUAACUUCGGGAGAAGGCACGCUGAUGGUAGGUGAAGUGACUUGCUCAUGGAGCUGAAAUCAGUCGAAGAUACCAGCUGGCUGCAACUGUUUAUUAAAAACACAGCACUGUGCAAACACGAAAGUGGACGUAUACGGUGUGACGCCUGCCCGGUGCCGGAAGGUUAAUUGAUGGGGUUAUCCGUAAGGAGAAGCUCUUGAUCGAAGCCCCGGUAAACGGCGGCCGUAACUAUAACGGUCCUAAGGUAGCGAAAUUCCUUGUCGGGUAAGUUCCGACCUGCACGAAUGGCGUAAUGAUGGCCAGGCUGUCUCCACCCGAGACUCAGUGAAAUUGAACUCGCUGUGAAGAUGCAGUGUACCCGCGGCAAGACGGAAAGACCCCGUGAACCUUUACUAUAGCUUGACACUGAACACUGGUCCUUGAUGUGUAGGAUAGGUGGGAGGCUUUGAAGUGUGGACGCCAGUCUGCAUGGAGCCAUCCUUGAAAUACCACCCUUUAAUGGCUGGUGUUCUAACGUGGGCCCGUAAUCCGGGUUGCGGACAGUGUCUGGUGGGUAGUUUGACUGGGGCGGUCUCCUCCUAAAGAGUAACGGAGGAGCACGAAGGUCAGCUAAUCCUGGUCGGACAUCAGGAGGUUAGUGCAAUGGCAUAAGCUGGCUUGACUGCGAGCGUGACGGCGCGAGCAGGUGCGAAAGCAGGUCAUAGUGAUCCGGUGGUUCUGAAUGGAAGGGCCAUCGCUCAACGGAUAAAAGGUACUCCGGGGAUAACAGGCUGAUACCGCCCAAGAGUUCAUAUCGACGGCGGUGUUUGGCACCUCGAUGUCGGCUCAUCACAUCCUGGGGCUGAAGUAGGUCCCAAGGGUAUGGCUGUUCGCCAUUUAAAGUGGUACGCGAGCUGGGUUUAGAACGUCGUGAGACAGUUCGGUCCCUAUCUGCCGUGGGCGCUGGAGAAUUGAGGGGGGCUGCUCCUAGUACGAGAGGACCGGAGUGGACGCAUCACUGGUGUUCGGGUUGUCAUGCCAAUGGCAUUGCCCGGUAGCUAAAUGCGGAAGAGAUAAGUGCUGAAAGCAUCUAAGCACGAAACUUGCCCCGAGAUGAGUUCUCCCUGACUCCCUGAGAGUCCUGAAGGAACGUUGAAGACGACGACGUUGAUAGGCCGGGUGUGUAAGCGCAGCGAUGCGUUGAGCUAACCGGUACUAAUGAACCGUGAGGCUUAACCUU
RNAcentral lists this ribosomal RNA (1730 nucleotides) under Klebsiella michiganensis. RNAcentral describes it as "partial 23S ribosomal RNA". It matches the Rfam family "Bacterial large subunit ribosomal RNA", at positions 1220 to 2925 of the family's 2925-position model. Lineage: Bacteria; Pseudomonadati; Pseudomonadota; Gammaproteobacteria; Enterobacterales; Enterobacteriaceae. The record is from RNAcentral.